This 73-nucleotide ribosomal RNA is filed under the name Prymnesium polylepis. RNAcentral describes it as "partial 5.8S ribosomal RNA". Lineage: Eukaryota; Haptophyta; Prymnesiales; Prymnesiaceae. The record is from RNAcentral.
GACGACGGCUCCCACGGCAGAGAGAUCGAGGAGGUCCGCUGCGAUGAGCGCUAUGCGAUGGGCAUCGCAGCGC